Molecule: long non-coding RNA, 2634 nt
Organism: Nyctereutes procyonoides (raccoon dog)
Lineage: Eukaryota; Metazoa; Chordata; Mammalia; Carnivora; Canidae
Exons: 2
Source: RefSeq, a predicted model, not a curated record
GGCGCGGGGCGGGCGGGGGCCCGGGGCGCGCGCGCGGUGCACCUGGCGGCGCUGCCCGAGCGCUACGAGCCGCUGGAGGAGCCGGCGCCCGGCGGGAGGCCCGCGAGGAGGUACCGGCAGAAGCUGAAGAAGUGUGGCAAGAACGUCGGGAAGGUGGUCAUCAAAGGCUGCCGCUACGUGGUCCUGGGCCUGCAGGGCUUCGCCGCGGCCUACUCCGCCCCAUUCGGGGUGGCCACCAGCGUGGUCUCGUUCGUCCGCUAACGGAGCUGCGCGGCCGGCCGGGCCCCGACGUACCCCAAGGAUGGGAGCCCCGCGGAUCCAGGACCAUCUCCGACCUGAACCCACCAAAUCCUCGCAGGAAAACAAUGUCUCUCUUUGCUGAACUUGGAUGAGUGCUGUGAACGGGACGUCCCUGCCCAUCCGCUGAGCUUUGCACGACUCCAGGACACAGGUGGCUCCGAUGGACAAUCCCGCAGAGAGUUAGGCCCCUAAUUCUGGUUUGGUAGCACCGGAGCCUUCAGAGGGGCGGGGGGGAGGGUGGGGGGGAGGCAUCGAGGCAGACACCUGACAGAUGGAAGCACUCUGGGGGGGUCGCCGAGCAGUGCUUACAAGCCGGGAGAAGGGAUUUAGACCUGGACUAAGAUGAUCUGUUAUGUUCUGGAAAGAUCACAGGCUGAUACAGUGCUCAGCGCUCCCGGCCCCGGCUGCCUCGGUUCUGGGGGCAGCAAUGGAGCUGCUCGUCUGUCGUGCGCCCCAUCUCCUUCCUCCACCCCGUUGUUGCCCGGAGUUUAAUUAUGGGCUUGAGAAGAAGGAAGGAAGGAAAAUCUCUUUGAAGGUUGUGAUGCUUUGAAAACUGUGAUGAUGCCGUGUGACUGUGGAAAGCAGAUAAAGCUUGUGAUUCCCACCCCCACCCCGGGCCCCGAAUGUGCAGCUGGCGGUGAGGGAAGCGGGGAGCUCAGGCACAGGCUGCUGGGCUGGAGAGGGUGCUUGGAGGAGUCGCCCCCGUCGUGCCCAGUCCGGCCCAGUCCGGCUGGGGGUUGGGAGCUGCCCGCCUGUGGCUGGCUGCUGGGGGGGCCACUGUCGCCUGCUCCUGCCAGCUGUUGGCCGCCUCUCCACCAAGCCACCAAAGGUGCUCUGUCUUGGGAGAGAGGGAGACACUACGUCUGGCAAGGAGAGUGUGUGAUUUAGAGAAGGACCCAGUAAGUAGGAGAUUGAGGUGCUGGAAGUUGAAACGAGAAAGUUGAUGGGAGGAGAAGAGGAAGUAUGGGCGCCAGGCCUGGUUUAUCAGCCCUGGAAACUCUUAGGUGACUGGGUUUUUGGCUCCAGGUGGGGACCAGGGACGCUGGGUGGCUGCAGGUGCCAUGGCUGGUGCUUAAAACACCCCUGAGGCCCAUGAGGCCUCACUGGCUGCCUUGGUGGCAUCCUUCCUCUUUGGUGCUGCCAACCUUUGUCCCCAUCUCACUUGGAUUCAGAGGCUGGUGCCUCACGGGUCCUGGGCUGGAUGCUCCCCCCCAGAUGACCCAGGGACUGCCACUGGACCAUUCAUUGGCAAGGGAGGUGAAAGAACAAGGGGGCUCCUCUUACCACACCCCGCCGCCAACCCCCAUGAGAGGCCCCGUCCCCCCAUUUCCAGAAUAUCCAGAAGUCUGGAUAGUCGUUGCUGAUCAGUCUGCAGGGUAGGUGGCAACACCUGCGUGUUGCCCCAAGAAGUUUCCUGGGCCUUGCCCAGGAGGCCUCAGGGCUGCUGCCUCGCCAGUCAGGCCAACCAGCUGGCACCAGGGAGUGGAGAAGGUAGGAAAGACAGACAGAUGGACAAGAAAAAGGCACCCCCCGUGUAGGAGAAAGUGGUAGCGAGGCGCUCUGGAGGCCCAUGUCGAAGAUGAACUUGGAUCCCGUUCUGCAUCAUCAAUAUUUGUGGGGAAAAGAGAAAACAGAUGGUCUUGUUUUAACUCAAAUGAUCAAAGUCGAUAGUGGCACAUUUUCACAAGAUAAUUACAGCUUGCCUGGCCACACUGGGACUUGGGGGAAGGGGGGGGUGUUGGAAAGAGACCUCAGUGGAAGAAAAAGCCAAGCAUAGUUUAGUGGGAGAGCAGGGCCUGGGCAGCCACCGGAGGUGGGAGAUGGGAGACGGGAGGAAGGGGCUCAGGGUGGGCUUGGAGGAUGAUGCGGACCCACCCCGGAGAAGCCCCCUGAGUGCCCAGAGGGAUGGAAAAAUGACCAGGGAAGGUACUGGAGCUGCCAAGGCCUGGCCCAUGGAGACCUUCCCCGCCCCACCCCCAAAUUGGAGACACUAUCAGCCCCUAAAAUCCGAGUAGUCUGAUUAGGAAUUAACCUAGAAGUUUCACCAGUCGGAGCCUUGCGGGGAUUGUCCCGGGAGCCAGAUUCACAUGUUCAGUGAUGAGCUUGUCCGCAGGGUCACUGGGUGCUCGUUUCCCCGCCGACAGGACCUGCAGGUUGCAGAUUACCUUUUUGCCUUUUUCUCUGUCUUCAGUUUUUGAUUUUUUAAAAAUGUCCGGAUCCGUGCCCUACUGAGGAUUGAGGUUUAGAGCUUUGCCUUUAGCGCUUGACCAAGAGGCUCCUUUUGUAUCCUUUGCUUGCCCUAUGAUGUAAAUAAAACCCUCAAUUUGUACAAUG